GUGCUUUAGGGAUGAACACGUCCCAGAUAUUUACCCAUCCGAAUCACUUUGUCAGCUCUUGUUGUUGAUUGCUUGCUGAUCAUUAUAGGAUGGAAUAUGU
Prosopis cineraria is the source of this 100-nucleotide small nucleolar RNA. RefSeq annotates it as small nucleolar RNA snoR99. Lineage: Eukaryota; Viridiplantae; Streptophyta; Magnoliopsida; Fabales; Fabaceae. The transcript has a single exon. The record is from RefSeq and is a predicted model, not a curated record.